AUACGGAGGGUGCAAGCGCUAUUCGGAAUCACUGGGCGUAAAGGACGCGUAGGCGGGUUGGCAAGUCAGAUGUGAAAUCCUACAGCUUAACUGUAGAACUGCAUUUGAAACUGCUAACCUAGAGUAUGGGAGGGGGAGAUGGAAUUAGUGGUGUAGGGGUAAAAUCCGUAGAUAUCACUAGGAAUACCGAAAGCGAAGGCGAUCUCCUGGAACAUAACUGACGCUAAGGCGUGAAAGCGCGGGGAGCAAACAGGAUUAGAAACCCUAGUAGUCC
This 274-nucleotide ribosomal RNA is filed under the name uncultured bacterium. Its description in RNAcentral is "partial 16S ribosomal RNA". It matches the Rfam family "Bacterial small subunit ribosomal RNA", at positions 523 to 796 of the family's 1533-position model. The record is from RNAcentral.